This 222-nucleotide long non-coding RNA is filed under the name Phoenix dactylifera (date palm). RNAcentral describes it as "long non-coding RNA (PDAC_LNC022139)". Lineage: Eukaryota; Viridiplantae; Streptophyta; Magnoliopsida; Arecales; Arecaceae. The record is from RNAcentral.
UCUGAUCUUUUGCUCUUGACGGUUAAGUCAAAUUUAAAAGAUAAGAACUAAAUGAGCACCUGCACUGAUACCAUUUGUUGCCCAGAAGACAACCCAAGAGAGGGGUGAAUUGGGUUUUUCAAAACUUUUCUUCCAAGUGCAGCUAAAUAAAACAAUUCUAAGUAAUAACUGUAAUGUAAAUGCAAUAAACAAAGUAAGCAACGCGCACACACAAAUACAAAG